UAGCGUAUACUAAAGUUGUUGCAGUUAAAACGCUCGUAGUCGGAUUUCGGGGCGGGCCGACCGGUCUGCCGAUGGGUAUGCACUGGCCGGCGCGUCCUUCCUUCCGGAGACUGCGCCUACUCUUAACUGAGCGGGCGUGGGAGACGGAUCGUUUACUUUGAAAAAAUCAGAGUGUUUCAAGCAGGCAGCUCGCUCUUGCAUGGAUUAGCAUGGGAUAAUGAAAUAGGACUUUGGUGCUAUUUUGUUGGUUUCGAACACCGAAGUAAUGAUUAACAGGGACAGUCAGGGGCACUCGUAUUCCGCCGAGAGAGGUGAAAUUCUCAGACCAGCGGAAGACGAACUACUGCGAAAGCAUUUG
This 358-nucleotide ribosomal RNA is filed under the name Haptophyta environmental samples. RNAcentral's name for it is "SSU rRNA". It matches the Rfam family "Eukaryotic small subunit ribosomal RNA", at positions 595 to 957 of the family's 1831-position model. Lineage: Eukaryota; Haptophyta. The record is from RNAcentral.